UAUAGAAAAUGACAUACUAGCACAUGACCAAAGAUGUAAACACAGAAAACCCACAUUCAAAAAGAUUUAUACAAAUAAAGAUAUGAGCCCAGACCCAAAAGCUAAAUGAUGCAAGUCUGACUCAUAAUUUUAAUGAAAAAUGACCAAAAUACUCAAUUUGAUGAAAUAUUUACGCGUAUGCCACUGACCAAAAUCUCUCUCUCUCUCUCUCUCUCUCUCUCUCUCUCUGCGCCGUUUUACCCAUUCCCAUCCUAAUCCAAGUCUGACCCGUUGAAUCCCUCGUCGUCUGCAACUCUCUAACGCGCCACUUCCAUCCCUUGCCUCAGCUCGGCUCUCGAUCUCAUUCGGUGUGGCAGUUGCAACUUAUGGGGAGGUGAAAUUUAACUUGUGGGGAGUGAGCCUGCAGCUACUGGCGGUGGGUUUCGAGGCGACGAGGAUGAAUUCGCUAUGAACCUGGUUAUGUUUCUACUGGUGGGGAAGACUUCGGCUUUGACAAUGAAUGUUGCCGGGGUUGUGAAAAAUUGGCUCCUAAUUACGUUUUCAUGGUUGGUGAUCAAGGAUACCGUGACGCAAAUCAAUCUGAUUGGGUAUCUGAUUGUGUUUAUCGGUGUCGCUUAUUACAAUCAUGCAAAAUUGCAGGCGCUUAAGGCCGUCGAGGCGCAUAAGAAGGCUCAGCAGGACAAUGUGGAGGUUGGGAAACUGUUGGAGGAGAGAGAUGAGGAUGGAAAGAAGAACGAAACUCAGGAUUGAGCUUCAUUUUCUAAUUGGUAGCUCCAUCAUUGUAUUGCCUGAAAGAAGGAUAGAGGAUUAUUAGACCCAGGAGAAUUGAGAGAGCAGUGGAAAAAUAAUGUACUAAGUGGGGUGUUACUUAUUUAGUCUCACUUAGUAGCUUAUUGUUUUAAGUAUGUGGUGUUAGAUGUUUAUGUGUUACUCUUCAAUUUCAGUCAUUUUCACUUUACAGUUGAUAGUUCAACUUAUCUGUGGUCAAGAUUGAGUUAUUGGGGGUGUCUGAUAGUGAUCAUGGCCGUGCCUUGUGCCAAUUUAUCAUUGUGAUUAGGAGGUUAUAAAUGUUUUUGAGAUUCUUAUUGAAUUUUGGAAGAGGACAUGAACUUAUUA
Long non-coding RNA from Rosa chinensis, 1116 nucleotides. RefSeq lists it as uncharacterized. The record is from RefSeq and is a predicted model, not a curated record. NCBI's taxonomy places the organism in Eukaryota, Viridiplantae, Streptophyta, Magnoliopsida, Rosales, Rosaceae. The transcript is spliced from 2 exons.